GAGUUUGAUCGUGGCUCAGAACGAACGCUGGCGGCAGGCUUAACACAUGCAAGUUGAACGCGUGUAGCAAUACACGAGUAGCGCACGGGUGAGUAACGCGUGGGAAUAUGCCCUUCAGUACGGAAUAACGUCGGGAAACUGACGCUAAUACCGCAUAAUGUCUACGGACCAAAGAUUUAUCGCUGAAGGAUUAGCCCGCGUUGGAUUAGCUAGUUGGUAGGGUAACGGCCUACCAAGGCGACGAUCCGUAACUGGUCUGAGAGGACGACCAGUCACACCGGAACUGAGACACGGUCCGGACUCCUACGGGAGGCAGCAGUGGGGAAUAUUGGACAAUGGGGGCAACCCUGAUCCAGCGACGCCGCGUGGGUGAAGAAGGCCUGCGGGUUGUAAAGCCCUUUCGGUUGGGAAGAAAAGUUCUGAUUUAAUAAAUCGGGACCCUGACGUAACCAACUAAAGAAGCACCGGCUAACUCUGUGCCAGCAGCCGCGGU
RNAcentral lists this ribosomal RNA (493 nucleotides) under uncultured Gammaproteobacteria bacterium. Its description in RNAcentral is "bacterial SSU rRNA". It matches the Rfam family "Bacterial small subunit ribosomal RNA", at positions 9 to 521 of the family's 1533-position model. Lineage: Bacteria; Pseudomonadati; Pseudomonadota; Gammaproteobacteria. The record is from RNAcentral.